Molecule: long non-coding RNA, 1199 nt
Organism: Pezoporus flaviventris
Lineage: Eukaryota; Metazoa; Chordata; Aves; Psittaciformes; Psittacidae
Exons: 3
Source: RefSeq, a predicted model, not a curated record
GUGAUGAUAGAGCUGACAUCUGAAUCAGGACCAGCCCCUUCCUGAGCUGACUUUUAAAGCCUGGGCACUGGGUCGUUCUGUUAUGAAGAGUUAGAUAAUGACAUUGUUCAUGCAAAGUGUAGUGAGGGGCUCAGAACAAAUAGCUACUGACCCGAAUGUGGCAUCUUGCACCAGAGCGAUAAGGUUCAACCAGCACAGAUUGCUGCUGCCCUCUCUGUGAAUAGCGGGGAUUAGCAAGAACCUGCUGUCUGUUGUGGCUAACGGGCUACUGGGCACAUUACUAGUGAUGUCUGGGACUCCAUCUGACAAAGAAUUCCUUCCCUGUGUUUCAAUCUGGAAAGAAAUGUCAGUUGCUGUUGGGAAUAUCAGAGCCUGUUCUCUAGCCAGUGUAGUUUUGCUGUUAUGUAAAGGCUACUCAACGAUUCCAAUGAUGGGCACUCUAUGGAGGCCUGUAAUAGAAACAGCACACAAAAGGAGAUACUACAUUCACAUACUUUUGAGCCCACGGGUUUGUCUAUACUGGAGAUAGCUCCUUUUGCUGUGAGUGUCUUGGUGAGGUUAAAGACCCGCUCUUCCUGCCCGUGUCUGUAUAGCUGUAGCUAAUCGAGGGCUUUUAUCAGCAUGACUAUGUCAGCAAAAGAGCCAGCUCUUAACUCACAGAAUUGCACUGGUAAGGCUCCUGAAGUGGAGGCCAGCGUGUACAGAUCCUGCAGACGGAAGGAAGCAAGAGAAUUGCUCCUUUCAUCAUGAUAGCGUUUUAUCUCGGGGGCCUCGCACUGGCAUUCUGAGUGUCGUUAACCUCUGCUAUUUUAGGCUUGGUGUGUAGGAGCACAUCACCACUGAAUCAGGCGUUCAGAUACCUCUCUCCUGAGAAUACAGUUCAGAAAGCUGGCUGCAAAGCCUGUGAAAGGAAGAGGGUUCACGUCUCCCUAAGCAUAGGACCUGAUCAGCAGCAAUUCCUCUCAAGCAUCAGCAAGAUACUAACCAGAAGAGAAUCAGCCUAGGAAGCAAAUGGUUGUUUGCCUGUUAGAUAAGGUGAAGGAGAUUGCCAAGAGGUCCAACGAGCCAAAGAGCUGGCAACAAGGAUGUCAAUGGGAGUGUGUGGCGUGUGACUGGGAGCAGACUGGGGCAGCUCCUUCUGACAGCAGCCAUUGCAUGAAAACUCAUUCUCAAUUUAACCCAAAGCAGGAGAAAAAAAA